ACACGCGCACACAAAUAUACAGGCACACACAUAUGUAUAUGUAUAUAUGAAUAUGUAUACCUAACUGUGAUAUGUGACCAGCUGUUCGCUGUUACUUUUAACAGCGACUAGCCGCAACAGAGGCAUAUGGUAUUUUAUUUAACCCAUUGAUGACAUGGAUACAAUUUGAAUUUUGUUGUUGAAUUUUUUCAACAUUUUGCCUUGCAGUUCAACGACAUUUGAAGCGGGUCGCGUAAAACGUUCAUAAAUACGCAUACGUUAUAUAAUUAUUUUUAAUAGCAGCAAAAACACAAUAAUGCAUGUGAAAUAAAAAAUCAUUAUUAUUACAUAUACUAAGCUUUAUAGGCAUUUGAUUCGUAUACCCUGUUCGCCUGGACUAAUGUGCAAUAGAAUUUAGGGUAUUUAUGGAAUUUUUAAAUUGAUUUCCAUACUCUGUUGAUUGUGAGAGAUGUCAUAUUGCCUACACAGUCUAGUAUACCCUGCGGUUGUUCAGGGUAUUCAAAUAUCCAGGUCGGUGUCGGCGACAGUAUCGCAUUGUUGCCAACUAGCAGGCAACAACCAGCACACACACAACAUACAUAAUAAACUACAACUUUUCGUACGACUUUUAUGAUUUUUUGUAUUUUUUCAUAGCAUUGUGGGGUUGGAAUAACCUAAAUUUUGCGCUAUCCCAGCAGCAACUACAACAAGUAGAGUAGAAUAGUAACUGUAAGUGUAACGUGGUGUAGGCCGGGCAAUAACAGAGUUGCCACCUGUCCCACACAGACCGCAGCACAAGGCAAAAGUUGCGUGCGGCAGCCGGAAAGUGGCUUCAAUAAUCAGGCUGAAAUGCUGAUGAAAACUCAACAAAAGAAGGCGCGGGGGUAAGCGGGCCGAAAGCGAAGCAAGUAGGCUGGCAGACCAACAAAGUGAGUAGCAGCUGUGGCACAUAAAAACAAGGACAAAUUGCGGAUUUAGCAAAAAAAAAAAAUGUGAAUGUAAAAAAGAAAUAAAAAGAAAACACACGACUCGCAGACGGACAGCGGAACGAUGGAAAGGCGAACGUUGGCAUGAUGGAACGAGAGAAACGAAACGAACCAAGUGACCCAUCAAACAUUAUGCGCCAAUGACGUCAUUAAGCUGUUAGCGGCUGUCAAUGUCGCUGUCUCUCUCUUUUUCUCACUCUAGCAUACUCAAUCCUCUCUCCUCCCACUCUUGCUCGCUCUUUUGAAACGUCUGAUAAUUUGUGUGGGUGCAUGGGGAAAUAGCAGCAGAAACAACAUGCUAAAGGCCAUAAGAUGUUGAUGUUUAAUCAAAACAUAAGGAACAGAUGAUGAUGCUAUGUGGCCAGAGAGAGAUAGAUAUAAACAUGCAUGCAUACACAUAUUUAUGUACAUAUACGAAGAGAGACGAGGUCUAAGUGCGUUCGUCUGUUGCAAUCGCUAGAGUUUAAGCAAACUGCAUUAAACGGAAAUCAAUGUGUUGAUAAGUGGAAAUUGAAUGACUACUUGCACAGCUAGUGGGUGGUAUCUAAGGAAAAGCGAAUUUGGAAAACACCUUGGCAAGAUUAAUAACAAAACUAAAUCAUCGGCAUCGGCGUCGGAGACGUCAGCAGCAGUAGAUGAAGCAGAAGAAGAAGAGGAAGAUGACGAAAAACCAAUAGUGUGAAAUUUUCAUCUAAUUAAAUUAGAUGCCAGUCAUGCUUGAAGCGCAAAGCUCAAUGGGCGCGAGCAGGACGGGACGACACACAAACCGAGGAGGCGUUGGGAGAAAAAGGUGCAUAGUGAAGAGACAGUCAAACAAAUCGAUGGGAUUUAACGACCAGCCAACAAAACAGUAGCCCACACACUCACACAUGCACACACAUACAGCUGUGAGCAUGCUGAGGCUAGGCGCAGCAAUAAUGCCCAAAGUCCAGCCACGCAGGCUUCGCGAAUGUGACUCAUGGAAACUGAUAUCGCGAGCCCUUGGAGAGACUGUAAAUGACAUUCAAGUUUGUCACAGCUGAAAAUACUUAAUAAUCGAAUGCCUAUUCAAAUUCUGAAACUACGCGAGUAAAUAACCUCAUUGCAAAUAGUAAAUUAAAAUAUUCUUGCAUAAAGAGCCAAGAUAUUCAUCUAAUUUCUGUCUUCUUAAUCAAAUAACAAACAAGCAAGUCCUUAUCUAUAAAAAAAAAAAUGGGAAAUACCUCAGUUUAAAAAAAAUAGACUUUAUAUAAGAGAAAAAUAUUAAAGGAAGAAUAAAUCAACGACGAAAACAAAAUUACAUCUCUAGCCGGCACACCAGGAAUGAUCUUAGACGUCUCCACUUUCUAUAGCAGCGGGACCGUCUCUUAACAUACGAAUGUAUUAAAAAUCAACUCAAACUUUACCUGUAAUACUCGUUCCCCAACGAUUCAAUUUUGUUCUUUUAUAAAAUUUACUAUAUGUUCAUUAUAAACUAUUUUUUUAAA
Molecule: long non-coding RNA, 2431 nt
Organism: Drosophila mojavensis
Lineage: Eukaryota; Metazoa; Arthropoda; Insecta; Diptera; Drosophilidae
Exons: 2
Source: RefSeq, a predicted model, not a curated record